RNAcentral lists this ribosomal RNA (621 nucleotides) under Pseudomonas sp. RNAcentral describes it as "bacterial SSU rRNA". It matches the Rfam family "Bacterial small subunit ribosomal RNA", at positions 82 to 699 of the family's 1533-position model. Lineage: Bacteria; Pseudomonadati; Pseudomonadota; Gammaproteobacteria; Pseudomonadales; Pseudomonadaceae. The record is from RNAcentral.
GCUUCUCUUGAGAGCGGCGGACGGGUGAGUAAUGCCUAGGAAUCUGCCUGGUAGUGGGGGAUAACGCUCGGAAACGGACGCUAAUACCGCAUACGUCCUACGGGAGAAAGCAGGGGACCUUCGGGCCUUGCGCUAUCAGAUGAGCCUAGGUCGGAUUAGCUAGUUGGUGAGGUAAUGGCUCACCAAGGCGACGAUCCGUAACUGGUCUGAGAGGAUGAUCAGUCACACUGGAACUGAGACACGGUCCAGACUCCUACGGGAGGCAGCAGUGGGGAAUAUUGGACAAUGGGCGAAAGCCUGAUCCAGCCAUGCCGCGUGUGUGAAGAAGGUCUUCGGAUUGUAAAGCACUUUAAGUUGGGAGGAAGGGCAUUAACCUAAUACGUUGGUGUCUUGACGUUACCGACAGAAUAAGCACCGGCUAACUCUGUGCCAGCAGCCGCGGUAAUACAGAGGGUGCAAGCGUUAAUCGGAAUUACUGGGCGUAAAGCGCGCGUAGGUGGUUUGUUAAGUUGGAUGUGAAAUCCCCGGGCUCAACCUGGGAACUGCAUUCAAAACUGACAAGCUAGAGUAUGGUAGAGGGUGGUGGAAUUUCCUGUGUAGCGGUGAAAUGCGUAGAUAUAG